Non-coding RNA from Acanthosepion pharaonis, 113 nucleotides. The record is from the annotation of a GenBank genome assembly. Lineage: Eukaryota; Metazoa; Mollusca; Cephalopoda; Sepiida; Sepiidae.
UACAGCCAUAUCAUGCUGAAACAUUGGUUCCCGUAUGAUCACCAAAGUUAAACAACAUUGAGCCUGGACAGUACCUAGAUGGGUGACUGCUUUGGAAUACCAUGUGCUGCAAG